AACAAAAAAGAUGAACACAGGAACGAAAAUGAUUUACUCUUUUUCUUCAUCGUUCCGCCUGCUCUUUUUUCACUUUUCUUGUGUCUCUGGGUAUUAGUCAAGUGUUUACGACUCGCCCCUUUCAAACAGACUUUUCUCGUUUU
This is a non-coding RNA of Caenorhabditis elegans, 143 nucleotides long. NCBI's taxonomy places the organism in Eukaryota, Metazoa, Nematoda, Chromadorea, Rhabditida, Rhabditidae. The record is from Ensembl.